RNAcentral lists this signal recognition particle RNA (302 nucleotides) under Aotus nancymaae (Ma's night monkey). Its description in RNAcentral is "Metazoan signal recognition particle RNA (ENSANAG00000014295.1)". It matches the Rfam family "Metazoan signal recognition particle RNA". Rfam says of the family: The signal recognition particle (SRP) is a universally conserved ribonucleoprotein. Lineage: Eukaryota; Metazoa; Chordata; Mammalia; Primates; Aotidae. The record is from RNAcentral.
UCCAAUGGGCGUGGUGGCGCAUGCCUGUAGUCCCAGCUACUCAGGAGGCAGAGGCUGGAGAAUCUCUUGAGUCCAGGAGUUCUGGGCUGCAGUGCGCUAUGCCGAUCGGGUGUCCGAAAUAAGUUCGAUAUCAAUAUGGUGACCUCCCGGGAGCAGGGGACCACCAGAUUGCCUAAGGAGGGGUGAACCAGCCCAGGUCAGAAACGGAGGAGGUCAAAACUCCUGUGCUGAUCAGUAGUGGGAUCGUGCCUGUGAAUAGCCACUGCACUCCAGCCUGGGCAACAUAGGGAGACCCUGCAUCU